Molecule: ribosomal RNA, 460 nt
Filed under: uncultured bacterium
Lineage: Bacteria
Description: partial 16S ribosomal RNA
Rfam family: Bacterial small subunit ribosomal RNA
Source: RNAcentral
CCUACGGGAGGCAGCAGUGAGGAAUAUUGGUCAAUGGCCGUAAGGCUGAACCAGCCAAGUCGCGUGAAGGAAGAAGGAUCUAUGGUUUGUAAACUUCUUUUAUAGGGGAAUAAAGGUAUCCACGUGUGGAUAUUUGCAUGUACCCUAUGAAUAAGCAUCGGCUAACUCCGUGCCAGCAGCCGCGGUAAUACGGAGGAUGCGAGCGUUAUCCGGAUUUAUUGGGUUUAAAGGGUGCGUAGGGUGUUUUUUAAGUCAGCGGUGAAAGUUUGUGGCUCAACCAUAAAAUUGCCGUUGAAACUGGAAGACGUGAGUGUGUUUGAGGUAGGCGGAAUGCGUGGUGUAGCGGUGAAAUGCAUAGAUAUCACGCAGAACUCCGAUUGCGAAGGCAGCUUACUAAGCCAUAACUGACACUGAAGCACGAAAGCGUGGGGAUCAAACAGGAUUAGAUACCCCGGUAGUC